GAUGAACGCUGGCGGCGUGCCUAAUACAUGCAAGUCGAGCGAAAAGACCAUGUGCUUGCUACUCUGACGUUAGCGGCGGGCGGAAGAGUAACACGUGGAUCACAUACCUAUAAGACUGGGAUAGCUUCGGGAAACCGAAGCUAAUAACGUAUACUAUCUUGAUCCGCAUGGUUCAAUAGUUAAAGCCGGUUUUGCUGUCACUUCUAGCUGGCUCCGCGCCGGAUUAGCAAGUUGGUAAGGUAACGGCUUGCUAAGGCAACGGUGCGUAGCCGACCUGGGAGGGGGUACGGCCCCAGUGGGGCUGAGACGCGGUACUGGGUCCGACGGGAGGCAGCAGUAGGGAAGCGUCCGCGAUGGGGGAAAGCCUGACGGAGCAGCGCCGCGUGAGUGAUGAAGGGCCGCGGGUGGGAAGACUGUGUUACGAUUGAAGAACAAAUGUGGAAGUAACUAUGCACGUCGUGACGGUACCUAAUGAGAAAGCCACGGCUAACUACGUG
RNAcentral lists this ribosomal RNA (497 nucleotides) under uncultured bacterium. Its description in RNAcentral is "partial 16S ribosomal RNA". It matches the Rfam family "Bacterial small subunit ribosomal RNA", at positions 28 to 507 of the family's 1533-position model. The record is from RNAcentral.